This 753-nucleotide ribosomal RNA is filed under the name uncultured Pseudomonas sp. Its description in RNAcentral is "bacterial SSU rRNA". It matches the Rfam family "Bacterial small subunit ribosomal RNA", at positions 28 to 776 of the family's 1533-position model. Lineage: Bacteria; Pseudomonadati; Pseudomonadota; Gammaproteobacteria; Pseudomonadales; Pseudomonadaceae. The record is from RNAcentral.
AUUGAACGCUGGCGGCAGGCCUAACACAUGCAAGUCGAGCGGAUGAAGGGAGCUUGCUCCUGGAUUCAGCGGCGGACGGGUGAGUAAUGCCUAGGAAUCUGCCUGGUAGUGGGGGAUAACGUCCGGAAACGGGCGCUAAUACCGCAUACGUCCUGAGGGAGAAAGUGGGGGAUCUUCGGACCUCACGCUAUCAGAUGAGCCUAGGUCGGAUUAGCUAGUUGGUGGGGUAAAGGCCUACCAAGGCGACGAUCCGUAACUGGUCUGAGAGGAUGAUCAGUCACACUGGAACUGAGACACGGUCCAGACUCCUACGGGAGGCAGCAGUGGGGAAUAUUGGACAGUGGGCGAAAGCCUGAUCCGGCCAUGCCGCGUGUGUGAAGAAGGUCUUCGGAUUGUAAAGCACUUUAAGUUGGGAGGAAGGGCAGUAAGUUAAUACCUUGCUGUUUUGACGUUACCAACAGAAUAAGCACCGGCUAACUUCGUGCCAGCAGCCGCGGUAAUACGAAGGGUGCAAGCGUUAAUCGGAAUUACUGGGCGUAAAGCGCGCGUAGGUGGUUCAGCAAGUUGGAUGUGAAAUCCCCGGGCUCAACCUGGGAACUGCAUCCAAAACUACUGAGCUAGAGUACGGUAGAGGGUGGUGGAAUUUCCUGUGUAGCGGUGAAAUGCGUAGAUAUAGGAAGGAACACCAGUGGCGAAGGCGACCACCUGGACUGAUACUGACACUGAGGUGCGAAAGCGUGGGGAGCAAACAGG